Molecule: ribosomal RNA, 435 nt
Filed under: uncultured bacterium
Lineage: Bacteria
Description: partial 16S ribosomal RNA
Rfam family: Bacterial small subunit ribosomal RNA
Source: RNAcentral
AGCGAACGCUGGCGGCAGGCUUAACACAUGCGAGUCGAACGGGCUUCUUCGGAAGUCAGUGGCAGACGGGUGAGUAACACGUGGGAACGUGCCCUUCGGUUCGGAAUAACUCAGGGAAACUUGAGCUAAUACCGGAUACGCCCUUUUGGGGAAAGGUUGACUGCCGAAGGAUCGGCCCGCGUCUGAUUAGCUUGUUGGUGGGGUAACGGCCUACCAAGGCGACGAUCAGUAGCUGGUCUGAGAGGAUGAUCAGCCACACUGGGACUGAGACACGGCCCAGACUCCUACGGGAGGCAGCAGUGGGGAAUAUUGGACAAUGGGCGCAAGCCUGAUCCAGCCAUGCCGCGUGAGUGAUGAAGGCCUUAGGGUUGUAAAGCUCUUUUGUCCGGGACGAUAAUGACGGUACCGGAAGAAUAAGCCCCGGCUAACUUCGUG